RNAcentral lists this long non-coding RNA (419 nucleotides) under Vigna radiata. Its description in RNAcentral is "long non-coding RNA (VRAD_LNC015952)". Lineage: Eukaryota; Viridiplantae; Streptophyta; Magnoliopsida; Fabales; Fabaceae. The record is from RNAcentral.
GUAAUGAACCUGGGAACGUGGUGGCAUGGCUAGUGGUGGCGACAACAAUGGCAGCAAAGGGCGGUGGGUGGUGGUGGCACGAAAAUAAGGGCGGUGAAGGCGUGAUGAGAAAUGAGUGAAUGAGUGGUGGUGGAGGCGCAAUAAGGGAGGCGCGAGCAGUGAUGGAGAACUCAAGCAGUGGUGACGGGGCGCAACAGAGGAGGGGCGACCACGGUGACAGAUGCGCGAUGAAAGUGGCGGUGGAGACGCGACGAGGGAGGCGCGAGUAGUGGUGGAGACUGAGCAGUGUUGGUGGAGAGCAAAGUGCAGACGGAGAAUAAAAAUUUUCGCGCAGAAACUGUUCGCAUUGUAAUUAUCUUAUAAAGAGCUACUACCUCGACUCUUUGUGCCACAGAUGCCUAAUGAUUUCAGAAUUCAAA